RNAcentral lists this ribosomal RNA (425 nucleotides) under uncultured bacterium. Its description in RNAcentral is "partial 16S ribosomal RNA". It matches the Rfam family "Bacterial small subunit ribosomal RNA", at positions 354 to 796 of the family's 1533-position model. The record is from RNAcentral.
GUUAGGAAUAUUGGACAAUGGGCGAAAGCCUGAUCCAGCCAUGCCGCGUGAACGAUGAAGGCCUUCGGGUUGUAAAGUUCUUUAGCCGAUGAUUAUAAUGACUGUAGUCGGAAAAUAAGCCCCGGCUAACCUCGUGCCAGCAGCCGCGGUAAUACGAAGGGGGCGAGCGUUAUUCGGAAUCACUGGGCGUAAAGCGUGCGUAGGCGGUUUUGUAAGUUAGGAGUGAAAGCCCAGGGCUCAACCCUGGAAUUGCUCUCAAAACUGCAAGGCUCGAAUUCGGGAGAGGAUAGCGGAAUUGUCAGUGUAGCAGUGAAAUGCGUAGAUAUUGACAGGAACACCAGUGGCGUAAGCGGCUAUCUGGACCGAUAUUGACGCUGAGGCACGAAAGCGUGGGGAUCAAACAGGAUUAGAUACCCGGGUAGUCC